This 521-nucleotide ribosomal RNA is filed under the name uncultured bacterium. RNAcentral describes it as "partial 16S ribosomal RNA". The record is from RNAcentral.
AGCGACUGUGCAGGUUACCGCGGCUGCUGGCACGGAGUUAGCCGGUGCUUCUUCUGCGAGUAACGUCACAGCUAGCAGGUAUUAACUACUAACCUUUCCUCCUCGCUGAAAGUGCUUUACAACCCGAAGGCCUUCUUCACACACGCGGCAUGGCUGCAUCAGGGUUUCCCCCAUUGUGCAAUAUUCCCCACUGCUGCCUCCCGUAGGAGUCUGGGCCGUGUCUCAGUCCCCAGUGUGGCUGAUCAUCCUCUCAGACCAGCUAGGGAUCGUUGCCUAGGUGAGCCAUUACCUCACCUACUAGCUAAUCCCACCUGGGCUUAUCCAUCAGCGCAAGGACCGAAGUUCCCCCUGCUUUCCCCCGGUAGGGCGUAUGCGGUAUUAGCAGUCGUUUCCAACUGUUAUCCCCCACAAUGGGCAAAUUCCCAGGCAUUACUCACCCGUCCGCCGCUCGUCAUCUUCAAAAGCAAGCUUUUGAAAUGUUACCGCUCGACUUGCAUGUGUUAGGCCUGCCGCCAGCGUUC